This 94-nucleotide signal recognition particle RNA is filed under the name Pirellulaceae bacterium. RNAcentral's name for it is "signal recognition particle sRNA small type". It matches the Rfam family "Bacterial small signal recognition particle RNA". Rfam says of the family: The signal recognition particle (SRP) is a universally conserved ribonucleoprotein involved in the co-translational targeting of proteins to membranes. Archaeal SRP consists of a 7S RNA and homologues of the eukaryotic SRP19 and SRP54 proteins. Lineage: Bacteria; Pseudomonadati; Planctomycetota; Planctomycetia; Pirellulales; Pirellulaceae. The record is from RNAcentral.
GAAGUGGUUCCUUGCGAGGGCGAAAUGUGAAACGGGUCAGGCCUUAAUCGGAGCAGCCCUAAGCACGUAGUCUUGUGUGAGGAACCGCUUGUGG